AUCUUCCACUGAUGAGAAGCCUAUUGACCCCUAUUGGUGCUACCAGCCAUCUGUCCCUGCUGUAUGAUCCCACAUUCCUUCAGGAGGCUCAGCUUCAGAAAAAACACAGCCAAGUCUGACAUCAUCACUGAAAUUUUCCUGCAUUCAGUUAUUCAAACAUCAAGAGGCAGGCUCUCCGACAUGCUGAUGUCCCCUCACUGCAUCUCCAGCAUGACAGCUCUUGGACAGUGCCUCCCAUAAUCUUCCUGAAAAUAAGAUGUGCUGGUGUAAGUGGUGGCAGGAGCAGUGUCAAGGCAGACUUCUGAAAAGUUAUCUGGGCUCUCUGAACUUGCCUUCUCCAGUGGCCAUAAAUAACAUUGAUUUGAGAAAUUA
Cyanistes caeruleus (blue tit) is the source of this 372-nucleotide non-coding RNA. Lineage: Eukaryota; Metazoa; Chordata; Aves; Passeriformes; Paridae. The record is from RefSeq and is a predicted model, not a curated record.